GAACCAACAGGGAUUGCCUCAGUAACGGCGAGUGAAGCGGCAACAGCUCAAAUUUGAAAUCUGGCCCUCUCAGGGUCCGAGUUGUAAUUUGGAGAAGAUGCUUCGGGUGUGGCCCCGGUCUAAGUUCCUUGGAACAGGACGUCACAGAGGGUGAGAAUCCCGUACGUGGCCGGUGGCCGCGCCCAUGUGAAGCUCUUUCGACGAGUCGAGUUGUUUGGGAAUGCAGCUCAAAAUGGGUGGUAUAUUUCAUCUAAAGCUAAAUAUUGGCCAGAGACCGAUAGCGCACAAGUAGAGUGAUCGAAAGAUGAAAAGCACUUUGGAAAGAGAGUUAAACAGUACGUGAAAUUGUUGAAAGGGAAGCGCUUGCAACCAGACUUGCGCGCGGCCGAUCAUCCGGUGCUCGCACCGGUGCACUCGACCGCGCGCAGGCCAGCAUCGGUUUGGGCGGUUGGAUAAAGGCCCCAGGAAUGUGGCUCUCUUCGGGGAGUGUUAUAGCCUGGGGCGCAAUGCAGCCCGCCCGGACCGAGGACCGCGCUUCGGCUAGGAUGCUGGCGUAAUGGUUGUCAGC
Molecule: ribosomal RNA, 568 nt
Filed under: Myxotrichum deflexum
Lineage: Eukaryota; Fungi; Ascomycota; Leotiomycetes; Myxotrichaceae
Description: partial 28S ribosomal RNA
Rfam family: Eukaryotic large subunit ribosomal RNA
Source: RNAcentral